Molecule: unclassified non-coding RNA, 263 nt
Filed under: plant metagenome
Description: partial contains small subunit ribosomal RNA, internal transcribed spacer 1, and 5.8S ribosomal RNA
Source: RNAcentral
UUUCCGUAGGUGAACCUGAGGAAGGAUCAUUAUUGUAUAACCGAGGUGCGAGGGCUGUCGCUGACCCGAAAGGUCGUGCACGCCCGAGUGCCCUCACACACAUCCAUCUCACCCCUAUGUGCACCACCGCGUGGGUCCCCCUUUGGCUUGUUCGGAGGGGGGCUUACGUUUUCACACAAACUUUGUAUGCAGUGUAGAAUGUAUUUUUUGUUUUUGCGAUCACGCAAUCAAUACAACUUUCAACAACGGAUCUCUUGGCUCUC